This 769-nucleotide ribosomal RNA is filed under the name Setipinna breviceps. Its description in RNAcentral is "partial 16S ribosomal RNA". The stretch from base 1 to 508 matches the Rfam family "Bacterial large subunit ribosomal RNA", at positions 586 to 1301 of the family's 2925-position model. Lineage: Eukaryota; Metazoa; Chordata; Actinopteri; Clupeiformes; Engraulidae. The record is from RNAcentral.
GCAGAGAAUCCCCUCGUACCUUUUGCAUCAUGAUUCAGCCAGUAAGACACAUGCAAAGAGACCUCUAGUUUGUACCCCCGAAACCUGACGAGCUACUCCGAGACAGCCUAUCUAGGGCCAACCCGUCUCUGUGGCAAAAGAGUGGGAAGAUCUCCGAGUAGAAGCAAAAGACCUACCGAGCCAGGUUAUAGCUGGUUGCCCAAUAAAUGAAUAAAAGUUCAGCCCCGUUAAGCCCAAUUCACAACAGUUAUACACAAAAAGAUGAAGAGCUCUAAACGGGAGUUAAUCAGAAGAGGUACAGCUCUCCUGAUCAAGGACACAACCUUAUAAAGAAGAUUAAGGAAUAUAAUAAAAUAAGGCUACAGGCCUCAGUGGGCCUAAAAGCAGCCACCUGUUUAGAAAGCGUUAAAGCUCAGACCCAAACUAAGCCUAUUAUUUCAUUAAAUACUUCCAAAAUCCCUUUUUUAACUGGGCCUUUCUAUGCACCCAUAGAAGAGACUAUGCUGAAAUAAGUAACAAGAAAAUUGAACUUCUCCUCGCACAAGUGUAAAUCGAAUUGGACCUACCACCGGUAAUUAACGAACCCAAUAACAGAGGGCCACACACCACAUCGUCACCACCAGCCAAGAAAACCACGUCCCCAUAAAUCGUUACCCCCACACUGGAGUGCUUAACAAAGGAAAGACUAAAAGAAAAAAAAGGAACUCGGCAAACCUAAACCCCGCCUGUUUACCAAAAACAUCGCCUCUUGCUUUUCAAGAAUAAGAGG